Molecule: long non-coding RNA, 4255 nt
Organism: Phyllostomus discolor (pale spear-nosed bat)
Lineage: Eukaryota; Metazoa; Chordata; Mammalia; Chiroptera; Phyllostomidae
Exons: 2
Source: RefSeq, a predicted model, not a curated record
GACGUUUUUUACCUCAUUGACCAGGAGAAGAGGGGUGGGACUGAAUUGGAGGACCUCAGUCCUGAAGAAGGGGGUCACCCAGAAAGCUAGGAGGAAACCAGAUGGUCAUGGAAGCCCGGAGCGGAGGCCUUCCGAGCGCAGUGCGCCUGUCAGGUCCUCCUGCCACACUGACGAGUGCGCAGUGAGGGCUCCACCCACGUUAACCAUUGCCCCUGUUGUGGUUACUGUCGGUGGUAACCAGGAAGGGCCGAUGCUGUCUGGGACAAGCUGGGGAAACUCGUGGAGCAUCAUCACAGAGGUUUCCCGCGAGAGUCACUUUCCCGGACCCUUGGAGGAAGUAUCUGUGGUCCCUUCCGUGCGUCGAAUGAAGGGCUGAUUCGCAGAAUAAACUCAGAAAAAACAAGGUCGGAGGAAGUAGUCUGUUCACUGUUCACAUUUCCUUCUGAGGACAGGGCGUGGAGGCAUGAAGGGAGAGGAUGAGAACAGCGAGCCACACCAGCCCGCGUCUUCAUGAAUUUUUUUUUUUUUUUUACAUAAACAAAAGGGUAGAAAUACUGUUUUCAAAAUCCCCUGCCCUAAAGGAGUGAGUAGAGAGAUCUGGUCCUCCAAACCCGGUGAAGAUAGUUCUGCAAUGCUCCUGGAAUAGUCUGUUUUGGCCUUGCAGGGUUGUGCUCUGUUAGAAAUUAAUCUGGCCAAGGGAUGGGGGAAGAAUAAUGCAGAAACAUUCUAGAAAGUUUAUUGACACACUCACCUAUCUCAGCUUACAUCUGUUGAGUUCCUAUAAUUAGCAUUUCGCUGUUAGCCAGAAAUCCUUGAUAAAUGGAUGGAUCUCGGUAGGUCUGGUGUUUGCGCCUGUUACAUUUCAAACUGUUUUUCUUUUGUGCCUUCUCUUCAGAGCUGGUUAAAGACCUCAGAUUUUACUGGUGACGUUAUUCUCAGUUUCCUGUGCAGGGACCUGCGGGGGUUUGCAGAGACACCUGGUGGCCGGCAAAGAGCAGUACCCUGACAUUGUUAGAAAAGAAAGAAUUGGAAUUGUGGCUAAAAUUUGGUUUCUUUUCGUGGUUGAGAACUUCAUUCUUUCUGCCAUUUAUUUUUGUAGGGCUAAAAUUGCAUAUUUAAAAAUAGACAUUGAUUCUUUUCGAUUAUUUUUAUAUCCUCCAGCUUUUCUUUCUUGAGGAAACCGUCGACCAGGUGACCAGCAACAUCUGCUGGGCUAAAUCCAACUGGAGCUAGGACUAGGGCGAGGCCAGCACAAAUUUAAGGAUGUGCCGAGUUCUCAGGGAUGAAUAUAGAUAGUAUUUAGUGCACUAUCUUAAAAAGUCAAAAUUAACAAAAAAGAAGCUAUGAUAAACAAAAACAUCAAAACUGUAAAUACAGGAUCAGUAUUAGUGAUUUUCCCUUUUAUCUCAGGCUCCACUAUGGCUCCAAAAGGCGCUGGAAAGAGCGAAUGUACCCGCUGGCCUAGCUCCGGACCUGGCUCAUUCAUCAUCAGUGGCUGUGUGCCCGCCCCCAGACACGCGCCCACCUACGGUUUCCCUUGCGGCUCCCUGGGCCUCCUCUCAUGUGGAUCGAGUGUAAGGAGCCUAGGUCAAUGGCAAUGAUAAGUGAAAAGACAAAGAGAGAAUGGAACAUUUAAAAGUAGCCUUGAGGGAAAAAUUGGGAAUGAAAUCUCCCUGUUACUCUACUUUUCAGGACUCUCCCUCUGCCUUCCUCCCAAACACGUUGACCAUUCCAAGGGAGCUGUUGUUUGCUAGGCGGACCUGAGCCGAGACUCAGACACCGAGGACAGGUGAGAAUGGGAGAUGGAAGAGCGCGGUGCCCUGUGAGAGAGGCCCUUCUGGCUUCUUUCCUGUUUUAACAACAUCCCUUUACUUCCUGUGUACCAGAACUAGGGCAGGGGAUGGGGGUGGGAUAACUGAGGAUCUGGGACCCCGGGGACAUGCCACUUGUUGCGAGGAGCGGACAUCGGUGGGGGAUAUUGGUAGCUGGUAUAUCCCCAAAGAGCCUGGGAAGGGUAUGAAUUUGGUCUGUGUGGUGCUGUCUCUGACUCUCCCCAUUCCUUUUCAUGAGAUCAGCAGCCUGGAAGUUCAACUACUGUUAACAGGAAAGGGUCCCCUUCCUGCCUCCUCCCUAAGUCUACAGGGAUUGUCUUUCUCCUAACUCAGGUGUUGUCAUCAGAGGGAUGGUGACUGCAAAUAGCAGGAAAAUAUUGUGCAAUCGUAACCACACAAGCUGCUGAGAAAAGAGGAAGUAGUAACAGACUGGGGUGAGAAAGGAUCAGAAGCUCAAGAACAAAGGAAAAUUUCAUCAUGGACAUGGACCGAAGUGUGGGGAUUUCGGGGAGGAGAGCAUGUGCGCUCUGACAAAGCACAGACACCAGAGCCUGCAGAGCCCCGGAUCACUCACCUGGACUCAUUGGAUACCCUGGAUCGCGUGUCAGCUGUUCUCCUGACCCAGAAACAGCAUAUCCUUUGUCACCUGCUCAUGGCUCUUCAUGAACCUGGCUCUUCUGUCGGCACCUCAUGGGUCUGUCUUUACCAACGGAGGUUUUGCUGGCUACUGCAGACCGCGUAGUUCAGCAGGGGCACUGUAUCCAUAUUUAUUGAGAGCCUGCUCUAUGCUAAGUAUGUGCUUAGCAUUUUAAACAUUCUCUUUAAUCCUCACAGUGUCUUUUAAAGUAAAUAUAAUUAACGUUCUUUUUUUACAAAUAAGAAAACUAAAACUUGAAAAAAGUUAAGUGAUUGCUCAAACUCACGUAACUAGUGAGUGGCAGCCCCAGGACUUGAACCUGGACCACAGGACAACUCCCGUGUCUUCAUGCUCUUUCUGUUGCAUUAGGUCAACAGAGACAUAGGAGAUGCCUCCGCACCCUCCUCCUGCAUCCAUGGCAGACGCUGCUAAUUGAUCUUGGUGCUUGUACCUUUUGAGCUAGGACUAUGGAUAAAGCACAGGCUACAUAUAGAGAAGUAGAAACUACGAUCCAUGUUCUCAAGGAAUCUUGCUUUGACAGAGGAGAAAGUGUAUUACAGCAGUAGAUGAGCACUGUAAGGCUAUAAAAAAACACCCCAGUCAUGAGUGCUAAAAAGAUUCUGAUAAGCUUGUAAAUCACUGGAGAUAUAUCUGCCUUCUUUUGUCUGUAAACUGGCCUUUCCCCCACUUUUUGAUUUUUUAGAUUUAUUUUCCUCAUUCUAGAUAUUGCUCAUUUAUUCAAUUGAUGAAUAGUCUUCUCUCUAUGUGAGGGUACAGCAUGGAACAAGGCCAAGUGCCUACUCUCAUGGAACUUGAUUUCUAGUAGGGAGAUUAGACGAGAAGCAAGCAAGGGCACACACAUGCACACACAUCAGCUGGUCGUAAGUGUGGUGGAAAAGUGCAAUAGGGAAGAAGGACAGAGCGGGUGGAGUGUUACUUUACGUAGGGUCAUCAAGGCCGGGCCUUCUGAAAAGGUGGCAUUUGAGGUGAACGGAGAAGGAGGAGACAGGGGAAGCCGACAGGGUAUGGCCAAGGGCCCCCUGGCAAAGGAGACAGAAGGAGCGAAGGCCCUGAGCAGGGUGGUGUAUGCAGUGUGCCUGUGGAAGGGCAAAGAGGCCAGUGUGGCUGGACAGUGUUGGAGCCGGAAAGUCUGCGGCCUUGCAUGUGUGGGUAAGGAUUGGGGUUUUUCUCCGAGGAAGGUGAAAAGCCACUGGAGAGGGCUGAGCAGAGUGGUGACAUGGUCAGACUUGUGCUGUAAAGGGAGCACCUGGCUCUCGUACGGACAUGAGAACGUGGGGCGAAGUCUGGUGUUAGGAGGCAAGCCCGGCAGUGCUGGCGGGAGUUGGCGAUGGCUUGAACCAGGACGACAGUGGUGAGGAGGGGAGAGGUGGCUGGAUUCUGGGAAUGUUGUGAAGGUGGAGCAGCCAGGGUAGUGGGCAGACUGAAUGUAGAGCGUUAUGGGCCGCAUUGCAUCCCCAAAUAUCCGUAUGUUCAAGUCUUAACCCCUGGUACCUCAGAGUGUGAUUUUAUUUGGAGAUACGGGCUGAAAAGAGGUCAUUGAAGUAAAGCAAAGUCAUUGGGGUGUCUCCUAAUCCAGUAUGACGGGUGUCCUCAUCAGAAGAGGAAAUUAGGACACAGACACCCAAGGAGGGAGGGCCGCGUGAAGACGCAGGGAGAAGGAGGCCGUCUGCAAGUCAAGGAUAGAGGCCUUGGAAGAAAGCAACCCUGCCGACACCUGACCUCAGACUUCUAGCCCCUAGGACUUGAGAAAAUACAUUUCUGUUGU